RNAcentral lists this small RNA (545 nucleotides) under Pan troglodytes (chimpanzee). RNAcentral describes it as "retained intron". Lineage: Eukaryota; Metazoa; Chordata; Mammalia; Primates; Hominidae. The record is from RNAcentral.
UUGGAACAGGAACAGGUCUCUUUGGGCAGACCAAUACUGGAUUUGGUGCUGUUGGUUCGACCCUGUUUGGCAAUAACAAGCUUACUACAUUUGGAAGCAGCACAACCAGUGCACCUUCAUUUGGUACAACCAGUGGCGGGCUCUUUGGUAACAAACCAACCCUGACUUUAGGAACCAAUACAAACACUUCUAAUUUUGGUACAUAUAAAAAGCAGGUUUGGCUCUCUUAAAGUUACACUGACUAUACCACACGUUAUUCUCCUGAUUCGUAUGAUUGGAAAUAUUUAAAAGUUCUCAGGUAAGCGGUAGCUUGAUGUGAAGUACCAGAGGGAAAGGUUUAAAGUCCUGGAUAUGGCUUGAGAUAAUUAGUAGGCAUGUAAAUUGCCUUUCAUUUACUUUGGAUUACUUCAGCAAUAGCUGAGAAACCAUAAAGGAAACACAUUUGGUUAAGUAACACAUUGUAUGAGGCCAGGUUUCAAACCUGUGGUAGCAUACAGGAGAUAAUUGGUUAUUCUUAUUUUUGUCGUUGUUGGUUUGUUGUGUUG